UGCUGCAGAGGAGGGUUUGUCAGCAAAGCCCACCCCAGCAGCUUCAGGAUGGAGUAGAUCAGCUCUGGGGGAUGUGGUGAGCUGCGUCGUGGGGUAACCUUUUGUUUCUUGCAGAGGCCAAACUGAGCAGUUUCUGGCAGUUGAUUGUGGAUGAGAAAAAGCAGGUUUUCACUUCUGAGAAAUUCCUGGUCAUGGCUUCAGAGGAUGCCCUGUGUACUGUGUUGCAUCUGACAGAGAGACUUUUCCUUGACCACCCGC
RNAcentral lists this long non-coding RNA (258 nucleotides) under Homo sapiens (human). RNAcentral describes it as "non-protein coding lnc-RPLP0-3:1". The record is from RNAcentral. Lineage: Eukaryota; Metazoa; Chordata; Mammalia; Primates; Hominidae.